RNAcentral lists this long non-coding RNA (1215 nucleotides) under Oryctolagus cuniculus (rabbit). RNAcentral describes it as "lncRNA (ENSOCUG00000033776.1)". Lineage: Eukaryota; Metazoa; Chordata; Mammalia; Lagomorpha; Leporidae. The record is from RNAcentral.
AUGUUAUUUAUUGGCUUUAUUCAUCUCAAUCCAGAUUCCUGGGAAGUCCCAUGGACUGAAAUUGAGGACUUAGGGGUUCCAUUCACAGAAGGGAAGGCAGAGUUACUGCUGCUGGAAGUUGUUUCUGAUAACUUGUGCUUCUUUCCAGUCAGAAUUUUGCAAAGGACCUGUAUUUUAGUUUGUCUCCUCCUCUUUCUUUUUAAAAUAUUUAUUGGAGAGGUAGAAUACAGACAGAGAGAUGGAGAGACAGAAAGGUCCUCCAUCUGCUGGUUCACUUCCCAAAUAGCCACAGCUGCCAUAGCUGGGCCAGUCCGAAGCCAGGAGGUUCUUCCAGGUCUCCCACAUGGUUGUAAGGGCGCUCUUCCACGGCUUUGACCAGCCAUGAGCAGCCAUGACCAGCCAUGAGCAGAGAGAGCUGGAUCAGAAGAGGAGCAGCCAGGACACGAACCAAUACCCAUAUAGGGACGCUGGUGCAGCAGGCCAGGGCUUAUCCCGCUACGCCACAGCGCCAGCCCCAUCCUCUCUGUUUUUAAUCUACAGAGUCCUGUGAGUAAAUUGUUAUCAGUCCCAUUCUACAGAUGUGGGUAGUAACCCCGGGAUGUAAAUUACUGUUUCCAAAGGGAUAUAAAUAAGUACUUGAACCUAAAAGUGUUUGAGGCUAGUACCUCUCAGCAGCUUGAGAGAAGUCUGAGCCUUCCAGUUUCCAGCCCAGAAAGGACAUUCAGAGCUUUCCAACGACUAUGUAAAGUACUUUGUUGAUCUUUAUGCUUCCUUUUAGUAUGAUGUUUUUGGAACUAGGGAAUUGAAUAAUUGAAUUUCCAUCAAAAGCAUAUUUUGGUAAUAUAAAGAAAAAAUUAGAAAUUGAGAAAUUUUGUGGACAUAACCAACAGACUAAGAAAAGUAUGUAGUUCUUUAAAAAUAAGCCUCAAAGAAAUGCAUUAGAGUGAUUCAAUACUAUCUUUCUUGAGUAUAUCCUCACCCAUCUAGCCUUUACAUGAACCUGCAAUUGCACCAUUGCAAAGCUGUUACUUGUCUUUGUCAUUACAUGCAAAGGAAUACUCUCAGUGGGUUCAUCUAGUUCUUCCAAACUGUAGAGUUCUUUGAAACUAAACAUUGAGACUUUAGCAUCCAGGAACACGAAGUAAAGUAAUUCUCACUGUUUUUCCCCGUAAAAUACUGCAAACGACAUAUCCAAUAAACAUUUCAUCUCUAGCA